AACGCGAAGAACCUUACCUACCCUUGACAUACUCGAAAUCCCGCAGAAAUGUGGGAGUGCCGUAAGGAAUCGAGAUACAGGUGCUGCAUGGCUGUCGUCAGCUCGUGUCGUGAGAUGUUGGGUUAAGUCCCGUAACGAGCGCAACCCUUGUCCUUAGUUGCCAGCACGUAAUGGUGGGAACUCUAGGGAGACCGCCGGUGAUAAACCGGAGGAAGGUGGGGACGAUGUCAAGUCAUCAUGGCCCUUAUGGGUAGGGCUACACACGUGCUACAAUGGGCAGUACAAAGGGUCGCGAAGCCGUGAGGUGGAGCCAAUCCCAAAAAGCUGCUCGUAGUCCAGAUCGGAGUCUGCAACUCGACUCCGUGAAGUCGGAAUCGCUAGUAAUCGCGAAUCAGAAUGUCGCGGUGAAUACGUUCCCGGGCCUUGUACACACCGCGAGC
RNAcentral lists this ribosomal RNA (440 nucleotides) under uncultured bacterium. RNAcentral's name for it is "bacterial SSU rRNA". It matches the Rfam family "Bacterial small subunit ribosomal RNA", at positions 958 to 1397 of the family's 1533-position model. The record is from RNAcentral.